This 1461-nucleotide long non-coding RNA is filed under the name Vigna radiata. RNAcentral describes it as "long non-coding RNA (VRAD_LNC017473)". The record is from RNAcentral. Lineage: Eukaryota; Viridiplantae; Streptophyta; Magnoliopsida; Fabales; Fabaceae.
AGAAGGCUUAUGCACUGACUGUGUGAUCAUUAUCUGCACAAAGAAGGUGUUUCUUGAUUGAUCAUUGAAGGCUUGGCAUCCUGUGAAGACUGCUGCGUUGAUUGAAGGCUUGGCAUCCUAUGAAGACUGUUGUGUUAAGGCUUGGCAUCCUGUGAAGAAUGUUGGUUACACGUUGAGGAUUUUUCGACGUGGGUUCAGAUUCUGGUUUUGUUGUGCAGCUAUAUUUUGGUUUUGGGUUAGAGAGGAGGUUUAUAUUUUUGCGUGAGGCUUCUAUAAAUUCCUUGUUGUAAAAACCGCAACCAUUAUAGUGUAUUUGCUUCCUGGGUUGGAAGGACACUGGAUGUAGGCAUUGUUGGCCGAACCAAUAUAAAAACCAGUGUUUGAUUUUCUCUAUCCCCGCAUUCUUUAUUUCCAGUCGACUCUAUUUGUGUAGUAGUCAACUACGUUUUUCCACUGCAUAGAAAUUUUCAUUACUUGCAUUUCAAGAAAGAUAAAAAAGCUUUAUAGUUUUGUAGGUUAAAAUACCUUUUUAGUCCCCAAGUUCGAAUCGAAAUUUUCGUUUUGUCCCCGGUUUCAAAAAUGAAGCCCUUUGGUCCCCAUGUUUUCAAUUUUGAGUGCAAUCGGUCCCUUCCGUUAAGUAGAUGCUAACGGCGUUAACUUUUCUUCUCUCUCCUAUGCUAUUCCUGACACUUCUUUUUCUCUCUCCUAUUUCUCUUCUCUCCUAUUUUUUAUUUUUUAUUUUUUAUUUUAUUUUAUUUUGUUUUAUUAUUUUUAGUUUACUUUGAUUUAGUUUAGUUUUUUAUCUGAUUUGAGUUGAUUUUUUAUAUUCUUUUUGAAAAAAAAUAAUAAUAAAAAAAUAAUAAUAAAAAAAAAAGAAAAGAGGCACGUGAGUAAUUUUCUUUUGAGAAAAAAAUCGUUCCUCUAUCAGCAUACGGGGGGCACUGACUACAGGAUCAACAUAAUCCAUCACGCACUGCAGGCAUUUCCCCUUACCACUACCUGAGGAAAAACCCGUAACGACCGAAGGAGAUUUUCGGUUUUUGAUUCCCAAUUCACUUCACACACUCCGGCUAGCUACAUCACACACACCAAGCCUGGUUGCGGAGGGGAUCAUCCAAUCCACUGCACCUAUUAUCCCCAGUAAGAAAGCCAUCAUCUCCUCCAUCAUAGAUACACAAAAGAGAAGAAACAAAAGACAGAGAAAACGGCCAAGGGAAGGAAGGAGGUGAUCGAAGGUGCUAGGCUGACAAUAGCAAACGAACUACAAGAGGUAGGUAUUGUCUUGCUCAUUAUCGUCGUCGUGCUCUAAUCUAGUAAGCCUGCUGCAUUGUGUUCUUCGUUUCAUGUUUGUUGUUGCUCUGUUUAAGUAUGGUUGUUGUGCUACUUUUCCCUUUAUCCAUCAUUAUCUUCGACUGAAAUUGACAAGCUAUCAUCAAAUGAAAAAUAUUAUCGAAUAAUCAC